RNAcentral lists this transfer RNA (72 nucleotides) under Camelus ferus (Wild Bactrian camel). It matches the Rfam family "tRNA". Rfam says of the family: Transfer RNA (tRNA) molecules are approximately 80 nucleotides in length. Their secondary structure includes four short double-helical elements and three loops (D, anti-codon, and T loops). The record is from Rfam by way of RNAcentral. Lineage: Eukaryota; Metazoa; Chordata; Mammalia; Artiodactyla; Camelidae.
GAGGGUAUAGCUAAGUGGUAGGGUGCAUGCUUAUCAUGCACGAGGUCCUGGAUUCAAUCCCCAGUACCACCA